This 293-nucleotide ribosomal RNA is filed under the name Escherichia coli. RNAcentral describes it as "partial 23S ribosomal RNA". It matches the Rfam family "Bacterial large subunit ribosomal RNA", at positions 2012 to 2304 of the family's 2925-position model. Lineage: Bacteria; Pseudomonadati; Pseudomonadota; Gammaproteobacteria; Enterobacterales; Enterobacteriaceae. The record is from RNAcentral.
CAGGCUGUCUCCACCCGAGACUCAGUGAAAUUGAACUCGCUGUGAAGAUGCAGUGUACCCGCGGCAAGACGGAAAGACCCCGUGAACCUUUACUAUAGCUUGACACUGAACAUUGAGCCUUGAUGUGUAGGAUAGGUGGGAGGCUUUGAAGUGUGGACGCCAGUCUGCAUGGAGCCGACCUUGAAAUACCACCCUUUAAUGUUUGAUGUUCUAACGUUGACCCGUGAUCCGGGUUGCGGACAGUGUCUGGUGGGUAGUUUGACUGGGGCGGUCUCCUCCUAAAGAGUAACGGA